GGAGAGAUGUCCGAGUGGUCUAUGGUACCUGACUCGAAAUCAGGCGUACGGUUCUAAGCCGUACCAGGAGUUCAAAUCUCCUUCUCUCCGCCA
Molecule: transfer RNA, 93 nt
Filed under: Clostridium sp. 19966
Lineage: Bacteria; Bacillati; Bacillota; Clostridia; Eubacteriales; Clostridiaceae
Description: tRNA-Ser
Rfam family: tRNA
About the family: Transfer RNA (tRNA) molecules are approximately 80 nucleotides in length. Their secondary structure includes four short double-helical elements and three loops (D, anti-codon, and T loops). Further hydrogen bonds mediate the characteristic L-shaped molecular structure. tRNAs have two regions of fundamental functional importance: the anti-codon, which is responsible for specific mRNA codon recognition, and the 3' end, to which the tRNAs corresponding amino acid is attached (by aminoacyl-tRNA synthetases). tRNAs cope with the degeneracy of the genetic code in two manners: having more than one tRNA (with a specific anti-codon) for a particular amino acid; and 'wobble' base-pairing, i.e. permitting non-standard base-pairing at the 3rd anti-codon position.
Source: RNAcentral